GACGAACGCUGGCGGCGUGCCUAAUACAUGCAAGUCGAGCGAAUCGACGGGAGCUUGCUCCCUGAGAUUAGCGGCGGACGGGUGAGUAACACGUGGGCAACCUGCCUAUAAGACUGGGAUAACUUCGGGAAACCGGAGCUAAUACCGGAUACGUUCUUUUCUCGCAUGAGAGAAGAUGGAAAGACGGUUUACGCUGUCACUUAUAGAUGGGCCCGCGGCGCAUUAGCUAGUUGGNGAGGUAAUGGCUCACCAAGGCGACGAUGCGUAGCCGACCUGAGAGGUGAUCGG
RNAcentral lists this ribosomal RNA (288 nucleotides) under uncultured bacterium. RNAcentral describes it as "partial 16S ribosomal RNA". It matches the Rfam family "Bacterial small subunit ribosomal RNA", at positions 28 to 307 of the family's 1533-position model. The record is from RNAcentral.